This 21-nucleotide microRNA is filed under the name Chrysemys picta (Painted turtle). RNAcentral's name for it is "cpi-miR-9582-5p". The record is from miRBase by way of RNAcentral. Lineage: Eukaryota; Metazoa; Chordata; Testudines; Emydidae.
UCUUGUGUAGUUCUUUAGCAU